GACGAACGCUGGCGGCGUGCUUAACACAUGCAAGCCGAACGGAAAGGCCCCUUCGGGGGUACUCGAGUGGCGAACGGGUGAGUAACACGUGAGUAACCUGCCCUUGACUUCGGGAUAACUUCAGGAAACUGGGGCUAAUACCGGAUAGGAAUCCUUGCUGCAUGGUGGGGGUUGGAAAGCUUCGGCGGUUUUGGAUGGACUCGCGGCUUAUCAGCUUGUUGGUGGGGUAGUGGCUUACCAAGGCUUUGACGGGUAGCCGGCCUGAGAGGGCGACCGGCCACAUUGGGACUGAGAUACGGCCCAGACACCUACGGGAGGCAGCAGUGGAGAAUAUUGCACAAUGGGCGGAAGCCUGAUGCAGCAACGCCGCGUGCGGGAGGACGGCCUUCGGGUUGUAAACCGCUUUCAGCAGGGGCGAAGCUUGUGGUGACGGUACCUGCAGAAGAAGCACCGGCUAACUACGUG
This 465-nucleotide ribosomal RNA is filed under the name uncultured bacterium. Its description in RNAcentral is "partial 16S ribosomal RNA". It matches the Rfam family "Bacterial small subunit ribosomal RNA", at positions 28 to 507 of the family's 1533-position model. The record is from RNAcentral.